GGGAUCGUCGUCUAAUGGCUAAGGCUUUCGGCUUCUACCCGAAUAAUUGGGGGUUCAAGUCCCUCCGAUCCCG
RNAcentral lists this transfer RNA (73 nucleotides) under Spirirestis rafaelensis. Its description in RNAcentral is "tRNA-Arg". It matches the Rfam family "tRNA". Rfam says of the family: Transfer RNA (tRNA) molecules are approximately 80 nucleotides in length. Their secondary structure includes four short double-helical elements and three loops (D, anti-codon, and T loops). Further hydrogen bonds mediate the characteristic L-shaped molecular structure. tRNAs have two regions of fundamental functional importance: the anti-codon, which is responsible for specific mRNA codon recognition, and the 3' end, to which the tRNAs corresponding amino acid is attached (by aminoacyl-tRNA synthetases). tRNAs cope with the degeneracy of the genetic code in two manners: having more than one tRNA (with a specific anti-codon) for a particular amino acid; and 'wobble' base-pairing, i.e. permitting non-standard base-pairing at the 3rd anti-codon position. The record is from RNAcentral. Lineage: Bacteria; Bacillati; Cyanobacteriota; Cyanophyceae; Nostocales; Tolypothrichaceae. RNAcentral also lists the same sequence under 2 other names.